GCUACCAUGCAAGUCGAGCGGUAACAGGUCCUUCGGGAUGCUGACGAGCGGCGGACGGGUGAGUAAUGCAUAGGAAUCUGCCCGGUAGUGGGGGAUAACCUGGGGAAACCCAGGCUAAUACCGCAUACGUCCUACGGGAGAAAGGGGGCUCCGGCUCCCGCUAUUGGAUGAGCCUAUGUCGGAUUAGCUGGUUGGUGAGGUAAUGGCUCACCAAGGCAACGAUCCGUAGCUGGUCUGAGAGGAUGAUCAGCCACAUCGGGACUGAGACACGGCCCGAACUCCUACGGGAGGCAGCAGUGGGGAAUAUUGGACAAUGGGGGCAACCCUGAUCCAGCCAUGCCGCGUGUGUGAAGAAGGCCCUCGGGUUGUAAAGCACUUUCAGCGAGGAAGAACGCCUGGCGGUUAAUACCCGCCAGGAAAGACAUCACUCGCAGAAGAAGCACCGGCUAACUCCGUGCCAGCAGCCGCGGUAAUACGGAGGGUGCAAGCGUUAAUCGGAAUUACUGGGCGUAAAGCGCGCGUAGGUGGCUUGAUAAGCCGGUUGUGAAAGCCCCGGGCUCAACCUGGGAACGGCAUCCGGAACUGUCAGGCUAGAGUGCAGGAGAGGAAGGUAGAAUUCCCGGUGUAGCGGUGAAAUGCGUAGAGAUCGGGAGGAAUACCAGUGGCGAAGGCGGCCUUCUGGACUGACACUGACACUGAGGUGCGAAAGCGUGGGUAGCAAACAGGAUUAGAUACCCUGGUAGUCCACGCCG
RNAcentral lists this ribosomal RNA (752 nucleotides) under Vreelandella sulfidaeris Esulfide1. RNAcentral's name for it is "bacterial SSU rRNA". It matches the Rfam family "Bacterial small subunit ribosomal RNA", at positions 48 to 802 of the family's 1533-position model. The record is from RNAcentral. Lineage: Bacteria; Pseudomonadati; Pseudomonadota; Gammaproteobacteria; Oceanospirillales; Halomonadaceae.